RNAcentral lists this ribosomal RNA (253 nucleotides) under uncultured bacterium. Its description in RNAcentral is "partial 16S ribosomal RNA". It matches the Rfam family "Bacterial small subunit ribosomal RNA", at positions 524 to 776 of the family's 1533-position model. The record is from RNAcentral.
UACGUAGGGGGCAAGCGUUGUCCGGAAUCAUUGGGCGUAAAGAGCGUGUAGGCGGUCCGGUAAGUCGGCUGUGAAAGUCCAGGGCUCAACCCUGGGAUGCCGGUCGAUACUGUCCGACUAGAGUACGAGAGAGGGAGGUAGAAUUCCAUGUGUAGCGGUGAAAUGCGUAGAUAUAUGGAGGAAUACCAGUGGCGAAGGCGGCCUCCUGGCGCGAUACUGACGCUGAGGUGCGAAAGCGUGGGGAUCAAACAGG